Molecule: transfer RNA, 71 nt
Filed under: Candidatus Parcubacteria bacterium A4
Lineage: Bacteria; Candidatus Parcubacteria
Description: tRNA-Lys
Rfam family: tRNA
About the family: Transfer RNA (tRNA) molecules are approximately 80 nucleotides in length.
Source: RNAcentral
GCCCCCAUAGCUUAGUGGUAAAGCAAUGGCCUUUUAAGCCACUGACGAGAGUUCAAUUCCCUCUGGGGGCA